Molecule: ribosomal RNA, 686 nt
Filed under: uncultured bacterium
Lineage: Bacteria
Description: bacterial SSU rRNA
Rfam family: Bacterial small subunit ribosomal RNA
Source: RNAcentral
AACGCUAGCUACAGGCUUAACACAUGCAAGUCGAGGGGUAGCAGGGUAGCAAUACCGCUGACGACCGGCGCACGGGUGAGUAACACGUAUCCAACCUUCCCAUUACUCUGGGAUAGCCUUUCGAAAGAAAGAUUAAUACCGGAUGGCACUUUUUUGAGGCAUCUCAAAACAGUUAAAGAUUUAUUGGUAAUGGAUGGGGAUGCGUUCCAUUAGAUUGUUGGUGAGGUAACGGCUCACCAAGUCUUCGAUGGAUAGGGGUUCUGAGAGGAAGGUCCCCCACAUUGGUACUGAGACACGGACCAAACUCCUACGGGAGGCAGCAGUGAGGAAUAUUGGUCAAUGGGCGAGAGCCUGAACCAGCCAAGUAGCGUGAAGGAUGAAGGUCCUAUGGAUUGUAAACUUCUUUUAUAGUAGAAUAAAGUGAGCCACGUGUGGUUUUUUGUAUGUAUACUAUGAAUAAGGAUCGGCUAACUCCGUGCCAGCAGCCGCGGUAAUACGGAGGAUCCGAGCGUUAUCCGGAUUUAUUGGGUUUAAAGGGUGCGUAGGCGGAAUAAUAAGUCAGUUGUGAAAGUUUGCGGCUCAACCGUAAAAUUGCAGUUGAUACUGGAAGUCUUGAGUACAGAUGAGGUAGGCGGAAUUCGUGGUGUAGCGGUGAAAUGCUUAGAUAUCACGAAGAACUCCGAUUG